This 105-nucleotide small RNA is filed under the name Caldanaerobacter subterraneus subsp. tengcongensis. RNAcentral describes it as "Thermoanaerobacter tengcongensis Guanidine-I sequence". It matches the Rfam family "Guanidine-I riboswitch aptamer". From Rfam's summary of the family: This family represents a conserved RNA structure found upstream of the ykkC and yxkD genes in Bacillus subtilis and related genes in other bacteria. The function of this family is unclear although it has been suggested that it may function to switch on efflux pumps and detoxification systems in response to harmful environmental molecules. RNAcentral also lists the same sequence under 1 other name. Lineage: Bacteria; Bacillati; Bacillota; Clostridia; Thermoanaerobacterales; Thermoanaerobacteraceae. The record is from RNAcentral.
UGAAAGUGUACCUAGGGUUCCAGCCUGGCAACAGGCGUUCGGUCCGAGCGGUACAGGUAUAUGGGUUUCCAUAUACCACACCUUAGGGAUAAAAGCCCGGGAGGA